GUCCCUAUCGUCUAGCCCGGCCUAGGACACCGGCCUUUCACGCCGGCGACGGGGGUUCGAAUCCCCCUGGGGACG
This 75-nucleotide transfer RNA is filed under the name Syntrophotalea acetylenica. Its description in RNAcentral is "Pelobacter acetylenicus tRNA". It matches the Rfam family "tRNA". From Rfam's summary of the family: Transfer RNA (tRNA) molecules are approximately 80 nucleotides in length. Their secondary structure includes four short double-helical elements and three loops (D, anti-codon, and T loops). Lineage: Bacteria; Pseudomonadati; Thermodesulfobacteriota; Desulfuromonadia; Desulfuromonadales; Syntrophotaleaceae. The record is from Rfam by way of RNAcentral.